Non-coding RNA from Penaeus vannamei (Pacific white shrimp), 229 nucleotides. Lineage: Eukaryota; Metazoa; Arthropoda; Malacostraca; Decapoda; Penaeidae. The record is from RefSeq and is a predicted model, not a curated record.
UUGACAAAAGAAGGGGUACAAUGUAGAAACCAGCAAGGAAUCAGAUUUGCACCUUUCAGAUCUACUGAUAGAAAAUGUAACACUGAAAGAUAAUGGAACAUAUGAGUGUAAAGCCUCAAACACCAUUGGUAAUGGUGACCAGAGUGGAACACCUGUUCUGCUUGUUCAAGAUUCCCCAGAGGUAAAUCUGACAAAGGUGCGUGCUGUUGGCCCUAAAGAAAUUCAAGCA